GGGAGCUUAGAUGUGGAAGCUCUUUGGAAACCAAGAAACACUCUGAAAAUGAAAAGGGUGGAAGAGUAAACUGUUCCUGUUUCUCCAUCUUGACAGGAAGCAGAAGUUCUCCUUAGCUGAUUUUUCUUCUUGCCUUAUACUGGGUUCUUUAACACCAGAACAAAAAUAAAUAAAUAAAAGAAUCUUCCAGAAAUUCAUGAAGAGACUUCAGGUCAGGAAAGCCUGAACUUUCUCAUCCAACACCCGUUCAAGUCGGAGGAUGCUGAUUAAUUCAUGAUGGAAAGGUAUCAAUUUCACAGCCCAGACCUCUACAUUCUUGAAAUGCUCUUCUCAUGGGAGACAUUAAAUAAGCUUUGAAUUAACUUAAGCCCUUAAGUAAAAGUGCCAUCAAAUGAUUUCUCAGAAAUUAUAAAGAAACAAAAGGACCAUAAACAAGAUAAGGUGGCAUGAGGAAACAUUACAAGUACCUUUCAGAGCUGACUGGCAAAGAAACUCCUGAGGUGACGGUUCUACCCCAAUAUUACUUCUUCGAAGAGCAACCUAACUGACCUUGUAUUGAAGACAGCGUAACCCCCAAGAGGAAAGGAGCUUGGAGCCCUGAAUCAGAGUAGAAGACAGGCUGAAUGAAUACCAGCCUUGGACUGUUGUGUGAAUGAAAAACAAGUUUUGAGAUUUGUGUGGUUUA
Molecule: long non-coding RNA, 685 nt
Filed under: Homo sapiens (human)
Lineage: Eukaryota; Metazoa; Chordata; Mammalia; Primates; Hominidae
Description: SATB1 antisense RNA 1
Source: RNAcentral